ACAAAGGGCAUGAAUCCUGCAGCAAAUGGUCUGGGGAAGGGCCAAUUAAUUGUUUUAAAAAUAACCUUUACUUCUAAAAAUGGAGAAUCCACUCUGGGAGGGGAAGGGAGGAUAAAAAUAUGCUAACACUGAAUAGUUUCAGGGUUCCAGGGAAUAACAGUCAUCACUUCUGAAAGGUUGCUGUUUAGGAAAAAUGGUGAAAGUUUAUUUAAACUAAGCAAAAUA
This 225-nucleotide long non-coding RNA is filed under the name Bos taurus (domestic cattle). RNAcentral describes it as "long non-coding RNA NONBTAT026843". Lineage: Eukaryota; Metazoa; Chordata; Mammalia; Artiodactyla; Bovidae. The record is from RNAcentral.